GCUAAACGCGAAGAACCUUACCUACACUUGACAUACCUCUUGGGACUUUCAGAGAUGAUUGUCUUCGGUUCGGCCGGGGAGGAUACAGGUGCUGCAUGGCUGUCGUCAGCUCGUGUCGUGAGAUGUUGGGUUAAGUCCCGCAACGAGCGCAACCCUUAUCGUAUGUUGCCAGCAUUUAGUUGGGUACUCAUGCGAGACUGCCGGUGUUAAGCCGGAGGAAGGUGGGGAUGACGUCAAGUCAUCAUGGCCUUUACGUGUAGGGCUACAAACGUACUACAAUGGCGGUGACAGUGGGCAGCUACCUCGCGAGGGGAAGCUAAUCCCAAAAAGCCGUCUCAGUUCAGAUUGUUCUCUGCAACUCGAGAGCAUGAAGUCGGAAUCGCUAGUAAUCGUGGAUCAGCAUGCCACGGUGAAUACGUUCCCGGGUCUUGUACACACCG
RNAcentral lists this ribosomal RNA (440 nucleotides) under uncultured bacterium. RNAcentral's name for it is "bacterial SSU rRNA". It matches the Rfam family "Bacterial small subunit ribosomal RNA", at positions 954 to 1392 of the family's 1533-position model. The record is from RNAcentral.